This 3042-nucleotide long non-coding RNA is filed under the name Helianthus annuus (common sunflower). Lineage: Eukaryota; Viridiplantae; Streptophyta; Magnoliopsida; Asterales; Asteraceae. The record is from RNAcentral.
UUUUUCUCCAAACCCUAUAUGAGAGCGUGCAUCCUGUUCUUCUGUCGGCGAUUAAGAUCUCCUCUCUUCGCUGUGACCUAAAUUCAUCUUCUUGAUUAUAUCAACAACAUCUACUAUCUCGAAUGUUAUUUACAUCAUUGUUCGAUUCUUUUUUUCUUAUUCUUCUUUCACACGCUUAUUCUCCACAAACCCUAGAAACCAAAACCUAUGAACAAUCGAAGCUUUCUGAAUCAUUGUAUUUCUUAGAGAUUGAGGAGUAUUUCAACAAUUAAGUUUCCAUUCUCUCUUAAAACUCUAAUUUCUUCCGUUGUUUUUCUCUCUGCAGGAAGAGAGAUGUGAUCUUCAUCAUUCUCAUGGCUGGAGGACGGCUGCGACCACCGAUGGGAUCACCAUCAAUGAUGUUACAGAUUCGGCGAUCUAAAAUCGUUGUUUCCAUGAUUGCGAUACGUAAUUGAAGAACAGAUCAAUCUUUAUUUCUAAUUGAAACCCUAACUUUCAAAAAACGAUUCUGAUUCCAUCGAUCUUGCCUAAAUCCCAUUCACGAUUUCUGAUUCAAGCUAUCUUUUCUAAACAAUUUUGAAAAUCGAAGGCUACAACAGGUGGUGGAGGUCAUGGAAUGCGUCUUGCCAAAGAACGUGAUGAGUUUGUGAAGUUGUUGCAGCAAGCUCAGAGUGAGGCUGCAGCUGCAUUUGGAAACGAUGGUGUAUAUUUAGAGAAGUGUAUUCAAAAUCCUAGACACAAUGAGAUCCGGGUUCUGCUUUUCAGAAUGACCAGGUGAUGCUUUAUUAGUCAAGCAAAUUUAAUGAUUCUUUUUAUUGUUUAGUAAUCAACAUCCAUUCAUGUUCCGCUGGAAUACUGAAGGAUCACUUGAAGAUAAGAUCGGUUGGAACGUUCUGGUGCAGAGAAUGUGGAGGUCGAAUUUGGAGUUUUGCUUAACGAGCAUGGAACUAUUGAAAUAGGUUAUGCAAGAGUAAGUAUCACAUAUCACGUGGCUUCUGAUUAUGCAUUGUGUAUCUCAAAGGGCUAUGCAGAAGCUGAGGAAGUCGUUGCUUCUUCGUUGGCGUCUUUAACAACAUUAAAAUCAGUUGGCACGUUUUAGCAGUGUCCUCUCCUUAACAUAAUUUAUUGUCCUCCAUCAGAAGCUGUUCUUGGUGAUGGAAAGAGUUUGGUGGUGGUUGUCUACAACCCUAUAGGAUGGAAGAAAGACGAAGUUGUCCAAUUUCCAGUUAUUUCGCGUGAAAUAAUGGUCCGAGAUUCAGACGGAAAAGAAAUUAAAUCACAGCUUACUCCCAUAGUAUACACAACACCCAAUUAGACAAUAGGUAUUACCAUGUUCAAGCAUAUACCGGUAAAACUCCAAGUACUACACUGCAUUAUUGGCUUGCGUUUACGGCAUAUGUACCACCUCUCGGUUUCAGCACCUACAUUGUCUCAACUGCCAAAGACACAGAUACAAGUGCAACAAUGGCAAUAGUGUGGAAUUUUGUUUCUGAUACUGGUGAUAGAAUUGCAGUUAUUGUUGGAUAUUCUAAGAGGUUUAAAUAUGUGAAAUUUAAUUGAAUUGAUGGAAUGAGCGACCUGAGAUGUCUGUUGUUGUUUCACGACUCCAGAAGGUACUUGCAUUGCAAGAGAGAUCACCAGAACGAGAACCCAAAUUUAUUCACAAAUUCGUGUCAUGUUUUCGGCCCAAUGCUGAGUCGAAAGGCAUCAAUUUGAUAUUAGUUGGAGGCAGUGAAUACAAACCAGGUGACCAACUAAACAAUCCAAUCAUUGCCACAGGAAAGGGUAAACCUGUUUUGUGCGAUGAAAAUGAUGACUUGAGUCGUUAUCGUUAUCAAUCUGGCAGUGAAGGUGAUGCAAUGAUUAUGACAAGAAAUAAUAAAUUUCUACCAAGCCAUACAAGUACAACCAAAGGAAAUCUGAUGGUGUUUAGUUCUUAAGCUCUUCAAACAGCUACCAAUUAUUUUCAUAACGAAAAAUUUAUUGGAAAAGGUAGUUUCGGUUCUGUUUACAAUGGGAUGAUCCAUGAGCGAUCACUUGCAGCUGCCAAGACUCACAUAACUAUCGCUGUGGUUAACCAACAUCUUCAAAGUCAUCCGCAAGAGUGGUUGGCUACAGUUAACUGUCUAGGGCUGAUUGAUCACCCAAAACUUAUAAAGCUUAUUGGUUACUGCACAGACGAUGACCACAAAAUUUUUGUAUAUGAGUACAUGGAACGAGGCAGCCUAGAAAACAAUCUUUUCAGAAGGCGUUUUUACACUGGACCUCUCGCAUGGAACCUACGAAUUAAAAUCGCCCUUGGUGCUGCAAAGGGACUUGCUUACCUUCAUAAACCAGAAUCAACAGUUAUGUGUCAGGAUUUCAAUUCCACCAACAUCUUGAUUGAUUCGAUAUGAAUUUAAUUCGAAAACAUAUUACGAUACAUUUAUUGUUGGGUUUCUAUAUAAUUAUUGAGUUCGAUGGAAUGGUUUUGCUGUAACGAAUUGUAUUUAGCCUCAGAUUAAUGUUUUUUUUUCUUCUUACUCAUCUUAUUUUGAUUUUAUUGGUGUCUUUUGGUUAUAUUAGGAUUCCGGCGAACUGAUUCGAGGUAAAACUGGCCAAACAUCAGGACGAAAAUGACAUUUUACUCUAAUUUUCAUAGAUAAACGUUAUUUAUAUGUACCUUCCAGGUUGCUGGAUUGUUGAACAAAAUGCAGUUGCAUGCGGAACAAUCUGUCUCUGAAGAUAACGAAUGCACUUUUAUUGUGUCGGUUCCCCCUACCAGAAGUGACGUUCUUCAUGCAUGUGAUGUAGCAGAGGACGUGGCGAUUGCUUAUGGUUUCAAUAAAAUUCCAAAGCGGAUGCCUGCAUCUUUGAAGCCCUUGCCGCUGAAUCAGUUCAGUGAUCUUAUUAGAACAGAGGGCUAAAGAAAGGAUCUAUAGUUGGUUACACAAUGCAUGUGGAAGGGAAGUAUUGCAAGGAGAGACCUAAGAAAACUUAAAAUGGCCACAAGAAACAGGUGCACUUAAAGAGCAAGUGAAGAUUGCAUUUUUUAAACUCUGU